Molecule: ribosomal RNA, 465 nt
Filed under: uncultured bacterium
Lineage: Bacteria
Description: partial 16S ribosomal RNA
Rfam family: Bacterial small subunit ribosomal RNA
Source: RNAcentral
GACGAACGCUGGCGGCACGCUUAACACAUGCAAGUCGAACGAGAGAAGAGAAGCUUGCUUUUCUGAUCUAGUGGCGGACGGGUGAGUAACACGUGAGCAAUCUGCCUUUCAGAGGGGGAUACCGAUUGGAAACGAUCGUUAAUACCGCAUAACAUAAUUGAACCGCAUGAUUUGAUUAUCAAAGAUUUAUCGCUGAAAGAUGAGCUCGCGUCUGAUUAGCUAGUUGGUAAGGUAACGGCUUACCAAGGCGACGAUCAGUAGCCGGACUGAGAGGUUGAUCGGCCACAUUGGGACUGAGGCCCUGCCCAGACACCUACGGGAGGCAGCAGUGGGGAAGAUUGCACAAUGGAGGAAACUCUGAUGCAGCGAUGCCGCGUGAGGGAAGAAGGUUUUAGGAUUGUAAACCUCUGUCUUCAGGGACGAAAAAAGACGGUACCUGAGGAGGAAGCACCGGCUAACUACGUG